Molecule: ribosomal RNA, 966 nt
Filed under: uncultured marine bacterium
Lineage: Bacteria
Description: bacterial SSU rRNA
Rfam family: Bacterial small subunit ribosomal RNA
Source: RNAcentral
AAGUAUCUUCGGAUAUGAGUAGAGCGGCGGACGGGUGAGUAACGCGUAGGAAUCUACCUAGUAGAAGGGGAUAGCCCGGGGAAACUCGGAUUAAUACCGUAUACCUCCUUCGGGAGAAAGAAGGCCUCUCAUUGAAGCUUUCGCUACUAGAUGAGCCUGCGUAAGAUUAGCUUGUUGGUGAGGUAAAGGCUCACCAAGGCGACGAUCUUUAGCGGGUCUGAGAGGACGACCCGCCACAUUGGGACUGAGACACGGCCCAGACUCCUACGGGAGGCAGCAGUGGGGAAUAUUGGACAAUGGGCGCAAGCCUGAUCCAGCCAUACCGCGUGUGUGAAGAAGGCCCUAGGGUUGUAAAGCACUUUAAGUUGGGAAGAAAAGUUAUUGGUUAAUACCCAAUAGCCGUGACAUUACCAUCAGAAUAAGGACCGGCUAAUUCCGUGCCAGCAGCCGCGGUAAUACGGAAGGUCCAAGCGUUAAUCGGAAUUACUGGGCGUAAAGCGCGCGUAGGUGGUUUAUUAAGUUGGAUGUGAAAUCCCCGGGCUCAACCUGGGAACUGCAUCCAAAACUGAUUCACUAGAGUACGAUAGAGGGAGGUAGAAUUCACAGUGUAGCGGUGGAAUGCGUAGAUAUUGUGAAGAAUACCAAUGGCGAAGGCAGCCUCCUGGAUCUGUACUGACACUGAGGUGCGAAAGCGUGGGUAGCGAACAGGAUUAGAUACCCUGGUAGUCCACGCCGUAAACGAUGUCAACUAGCUGUUGGGGAACUAUGUUCUUCAGUGGCGCAGCUAACGUAGUAAGUUGACCGCCUGGGGGAGUACGGCCGCAAGGCUAAAACUCAAAUGAAUUGACGGGGACCCGCACAAGCGGUUGGAGCAUGUGGCUUAAUUCGAUGCAACGCGAAAAAACCUUACCUAUACUUGACAUAACUUGGAAUGCUUUGUAAAUGAAGCAGUGCCUUCGGGAGCCA